This 48-nucleotide transfer RNA is filed under the name Beta vulgaris subsp. vulgaris (sugar beet). It matches the Rfam family "tRNA", at positions 1 to 48 of the family's 71-position model. From Rfam's summary of the family: Transfer RNA (tRNA) molecules are approximately 80 nucleotides in length. Their secondary structure includes four short double-helical elements and three loops (D, anti-codon, and T loops). Further hydrogen bonds mediate the characteristic L-shaped molecular structure. tRNAs have two regions of fundamental functional importance: the anti-codon, which is responsible for specific mRNA codon recognition, and the 3' end, to which the tRNAs corresponding amino acid is attached (by aminoacyl-tRNA synthetases). tRNAs cope with the degeneracy of the genetic code in two manners: having more than one tRNA (with a specific anti-codon) for a particular amino acid; and 'wobble' base-pairing, i.e. permitting non-standard base-pairing at the 3rd anti-codon position. The record is from Rfam by way of RNAcentral. Lineage: Eukaryota; Viridiplantae; Streptophyta; Magnoliopsida; Caryophyllales; Amaranthaceae.
GCGGGAGUAGUUCAAUGGUAGAACCCUAGCCUUCCAAGCUAAUGACGG